Molecule: ribosomal RNA, 938 nt
Filed under: Micrococcus sp. Bacto23
Lineage: Bacteria; Bacillati; Actinomycetota; Actinomycetes; Micrococcales; Micrococcaceae
Description: bacterial SSU rRNA
Rfam family: Bacterial small subunit ribosomal RNA
Source: RNAcentral
UUGACGGUACCUGCAGAAGAAGCGCCGGCUAACUACGUGCCAGCAGCCGCGGUAAUACGUAGGGCGCGAGCGUUAUCCGGAAUUAUUGGGCGUAAAGAGCUCGUAGGCGGUUUGUCGCGUCUGCCGUGAAAGUCCGGGGCUUAACCCCGGAUCUGCGGUGGGUACGGGCAGACUAGAGUGCAGUAGGGGAGACUGGAAUUCCUGGUGUAGCGGUGAAAUGCGCAGAUAUCAGGAGGAACACCGAUGGCGAAGGCAGGUCUCUGGGCUGUAACUGACGCUGAGGAGCGAAAGCAUGGGGAGCGAACAGGAUUAGAUACCCUGGUAGUCCAUGCCGUAAACGUUGGGCACUAGGUGUGGGGGACAUUGACGUUUUCCGCGCCGUAGCUAACGCAUUAAGUGCCCCGCCUGGGGAGUACGGCCGCAAGGCUAAAACUCAAAGGAAUUGACGGGGGCCCGCACAAGCGGCGGAGCAUGCGGAUUAAUUCGAUGCAACGCGAAGAACCUUACCAAGGCUUGACAUGUUCUGACCGCCGUAGAGAUACGGUUUCCCCUUUGGGGCAGGUUACACAGGUGGUGCAUGGUUGUCGUCAGCUCGUGUCGUGAGAUGUUGGGUUAAGUCCCGCAACGAGCGCAACCCUCGUUCCAUGUUGCCAGCACGUAGUGGUGGGGACUCAUGGGAGACUGCCGGGGUCAACUCGGAGGAAGGUGGGGACGACGUCAAAUCAUCAUGCCCCUUAUGUCUUGGGCUUCACGCAUGCUACAAUGGCCGGUACAAUGGGUUGCGAUACUGUGAGGUGGAGCUAAUCCCAAAAAGCCGGUCUCAGUUCGGAUUGGGGUCUGCAACUCGACCCCAUGAAGUCGGAGUCGCUAGUAAUCGCAGAUCAGCAACGCUGCGGUGAAUACGUUCCCGGGCCUUGUACACACCGCCCGUCAAGUCA